This 700-nucleotide ribosomal RNA is filed under the name uncultured bacterium. RNAcentral describes it as "bacterial SSU rRNA". It matches the Rfam family "Bacterial small subunit ribosomal RNA", at positions 94 to 788 of the family's 1533-position model. The record is from RNAcentral.
AGCGGCGAACGGGUGAGUAAUGCAUCAGAACGUAUCCUGCAGUGGGGGACAACGCCGGGAAACCGGCGCUAAUACCGCAUAUGCUCUGUGGAGGAAAGUGGGGGACCUGAGAGGGCCUCACGCUGUGGGCGCGGCCGAUGUCCGAUUAGCUGGUUGGUGGGGUAAAGGCUUACCAAGGCGACGAUCGGUAGCUGGUCUGAGAGGAUGAUCAGCCACACUGGGACUGAGACACGGCCCAGACUCCUACGGGAGGCAGCAGUGGGGAAUUUUGGACAAUGGGGGCAACCCUGAUCCAGCCAUGCCGCGUGCGGGAAGAAGGCCUUCGGGUUGUAAACCGCUUUUAGCUGGGAAGAAAAGGCACGGGCCAAUACCCCGUGUUCUUGACGGUACCGGCGGAAUAAGCACCGGCUAACUACGUGCCAGCAGCCGCGGUAAUACGUAGGGUGCGAGCGUUAAUCGGAAUUACUGGGCGUAAAGCGUGCGCAGGCGGUUCGUUGUGUUUGCGGUGAAAGCCCCGGGCUCAACCUGGGAAUGGCCGUGAAAACUGGCGAGCUGGAGUGUGGCAGAGGGGGGUGGAAUUCCAGGUGUAGCAGUGAAAUGCGUAGAGAUCUGGAGGAACACCGAUGGCGAAGGCAGCCCCCUGGGCUGACACUGACGCUCAGGCACGAAAGCGUGGGGAGCAAACAGGAUUAGAUACCCU